Molecule: transfer RNA, 73 nt
Filed under: Struthiolaria papulosa
Lineage: Eukaryota; Metazoa; Mollusca; Gastropoda; Littorinimorpha; Struthiolaridae
Description: tRNA-Arg
Source: RNAcentral
AAUAUAGAAAGCGAAAUAUUUGCGUACGGUUUCGACCCGUAAGGUAGGGGUAUAUAACUCCCCUUCUGUAUUU